CUUCGGGGUGAAGCUCGUGGAACGAGCGGCGGACGGGUGAGUAACACGUGGGCAACCUGCCUGUAAGAUCGGAAUAACCCCGGGAAACCGGGGCUAAUGCCGGGUAAUACUUUCUUUCGCAUGAAGGAAAGUUGAAAGAUGGCUUCUUGCUAUCACUUACAGAUGGGCCCGCGGCGCAUUAGCUAGUUGGUGAGGUAACGGCUCACCAAGGCGACGAUGCGUAGCCGACCUGAGAGGGUGAUCGGCCACACUGGGACUGAGACACGGCCCAGACUCCUACGGGAGGCAGCAGUAGGGAAUCUUCCGCAAUGGACGAAAGUCUGACGGAGCAACGCCGCGUGAACGAUGAAGGUCUUCGGAUCGUAAAGUUCUGUUGUUAGGGAAGAACAAGUACCGUGCGAAUAGAGCGGUACCUUGACGGUACCUAACGAGGAAGCCCCGGCUAACUACGUGCCAGCAGCCGCGGUAAUACGUAGGGGGCAAGCGUUGUCCGGAAUUAUUGGGCGUAAAGCGCGCGCAGGCGGUUCCUUAAGUCUGAUGUGAAAGCCCACGGCUCAACCGUGGAGGGUCAUUGGAAACUGGGGAACUUGAGGACAGAAGA
Molecule: ribosomal RNA, 601 nt
Filed under: Halobacillus trueperi
Lineage: Bacteria; Bacillati; Bacillota; Bacilli; Caryophanales; Bacillaceae
Description: bacterial SSU rRNA
Rfam family: Bacterial small subunit ribosomal RNA
Source: RNAcentral